Molecule: transfer RNA, 53 nt
Filed under: Bos taurus (domestic cattle)
Lineage: Eukaryota; Metazoa; Chordata; Mammalia; Artiodactyla; Bovidae
Also listed under: 3 other names
Rfam family: tRNA
About the family: Transfer RNA (tRNA) molecules are approximately 80 nucleotides in length.
Source: Rfam by way of RNAcentral
UCUGAUGGUUAAGAAUCUGCCUGCAAUGCAGGAGACCCAGGUUCAAACCCUGG